UACGUAGGGUGCAAGCGUUGUCCGGAAUCAUUGGGCGUAAAGCGCGUGUAGGCGGCUCGGUAAGUCUGCUGUGAAAGUCCAGGGCUCAACCCUGGGAUGCCGGUGGAUACUGUCGAGCUCGAGUCCGGAAGAGGCGAGUGGAAUUCCUGGUGUAGCGGUGAAAUGCGCGGAUAUCAGGAGGAACACCAAUGGCGAAGGCAGCUCGCUGGGACGUGACUGACGCUGAGACGCGAAAGCGUGGGGAGCAAACAGG
Molecule: ribosomal RNA, 253 nt
Filed under: uncultured bacterium
Lineage: Bacteria
Description: partial 16S ribosomal RNA
Rfam family: Bacterial small subunit ribosomal RNA
Source: RNAcentral